Molecule: long non-coding RNA, 1600 nt
Organism: Canis lupus familiaris (dog)
Lineage: Eukaryota; Metazoa; Chordata; Mammalia; Carnivora; Canidae
Exons: 3
Source: RefSeq, a predicted model, not a curated record
CCCCUUUCACAGUGUAGUUGAAUUGUAGGACAGAGGCCAACUUGUGGAAGAAAGAAAAAAACAAUGCUAAAUAAUCCCUGUCUUCGCUGAGAAACAGGAUCCUAUUCUCAUGCUAUUUGGAUUUGGAAAAUCAUCAAGCGGUUGGAAUGACUAAUUGGAGGCUACAGUCCAGAAAAUAUUGUACAAAUUUUCCCUUAAAAAUGGAAGAUAGAAAGUGUUUCCUUUUCACACUGUGUCCCUUUUCAAGUGGCCUGUGCUGUUAUGAAGUUCGAUAACCACUUCAUUUGCAUGAUUCAGAUGCUAGAGUCACUGGAUAUAAUCAUUUAAACUAUGAGUGAUGGGGCCCCGACUUCCCUAACUAGACAAUAGUGCUAUUUGAACUGGCAGUUAAUCAGUUUAAAAGUGACUUAUCGGUAACGUACAAUAUGACUAAUUUAGCAGCUAAGCAGUUUCAUUGUGAUCUUGGUGUCAGUGGAAUUCCUGUCACCUAUCCAACAGUUAAGUCAUAUUGCAUAAUUGUUGGGUGACAUCACUGGGCUGCAAGAUCAUUGGCUGAAGAAAUGAAAAAAAAGUUUCCUGGAGUGUCAGCCUUUCCGGCAUCUGAGCGAAUGACUUGUACUGUGACUGCAGUGCAGCCGGAGAGCAAAGUAAAAAUGCGGGUUGAAGUGGCUGGCUUUUGGUGUGUCAUUGAAAAUCACAGUCUGUAGAUUCGCCAACACGCCUAAUGAUGAGGUCUCUUCCCUUUAUGUGGGACUUCACGAUGCCAGUCAUUAAGAUCCCCCGCACGUAGAAGUUGGCCACCAUGCAUGAAGACACUUGAGCGCUCUAUGGUGGCUGCAUUAACUUGUAAGGUGUCUGAGUGAGCUACCAUAGAAGUGAAUCCUCUGGCCCCAGGGAAGCCUUCAGACUGCAGCCCUGGCAAAUACCUUGACUGCAUCCUCGUAAGAAAUCCUGAGCCUGAACCACCCAGCUAAGGCACUCCUGGAUUCCUGACCUACACUGAUGAGUGUGAAAGGAGACACCAGCUGUUGUGUUGUGAGGACAGUCAGGCAGCCCUGUGAAUCAUCGUGUGGUAAGGUAGUGAGGCUCCCUGCCAACAGCCAUAUGAACGAGCCAUCUUGAGGCAGAUCCUCCAGUGCCACAGAAGCCUUCAGAUGACUGCAGCCUCUGCCAGACAGCUUGACUGCAACCUCGACAGACACUCUGAGCCAGAACCAGUCAGCUAAGUCAUGACCAGAUUCCUAAGCCACGGGAACUGUGUGAGAUAAUAAAGGUUUGUUGGGUUAGGCUGCUAAGUUUUGGAGUAAUUUGUUAUACAGCAGUAGAUAAUGAAUACAAGGGUCCUUCCAAACCUGAGAUUCAUUGAUUUUCUGAUUCUCAUAUCACACUCAUAAUGUCUACCAUGUGAAAUACUCUUUCUGGGAGUCUUGGGAAGCUUUAAGUCUCCUUGGUUGCCUGCAUAGCUCAUGCAUUAAUUUAUACAUAUAUCAUAUAUGCAUAUAUACAUGUAGUUAAUGCAUUUUUUCUAAACACUACUUAUUUAUCUAUUUUUUUUAAGAUUUUAUUUAUUCAUGAGAGACACAGAGAGAGAGGCAGAGAC